ACUCCGACGGGAGGCAGCAGUAGGGAAUCUUCCACAAUGGGCGCAAGCCUGAUGGAGCAACACCGCGUGAGUGAAGAAGGGUUUCGGCUCGUAAAGCUCUGUUGUUAAAGAAGAACACGUAUGAGAGUAACUGUUCAUACGUUGACGGUAUUUAACCAGAAAGUCACGGCUAACUACGUGCCAGCAGCCGCGGUAAUACGUAGGUGGCAAGCGUUAUCCGGAUUUAUUGGGCGUAAAGAGAGUGCAGGCGGUUUUCUAAGUCUGAUGUGAAAGCCUUCGGCUUAACCGGAGAAGUGCAUCGGAAACUGGAUAACUUGAGUGCAGAAGAGGGUAGUGGAACUCCAUGUGUAGCGGUGGAAUGCGUAGAUAUAUGGAAGAACACCAGUGGCGAAGGCGGCUACCUGGUCUGCAACUGACGCUGAGACUCGAAAGCAUGGGUAGCGAACAGGAUUAGAUACCCUGGUAGGAUAGCG
RNAcentral lists this ribosomal RNA (473 nucleotides) under uncultured bacterium. Its description in RNAcentral is "bacterial SSU rRNA". It matches the Rfam family "Bacterial small subunit ribosomal RNA", at positions 335 to 801 of the family's 1533-position model. The record is from RNAcentral.